RNAcentral lists this ribosomal RNA (253 nucleotides) under uncultured bacterium. RNAcentral's name for it is "partial 16S ribosomal RNA". It matches the Rfam family "Bacterial small subunit ribosomal RNA", at positions 524 to 776 of the family's 1533-position model. The record is from RNAcentral.
UACGGAGGGUGCAAGCGUUACUCGGAGUUAUUGGGCGUAAAGAGCGCGUAGGUGGUUUGGUAAGUUUGAUGUGAAAGCCCAGGGCUCAACCCUGGAAGUGCAUUGAAUACUGCCAGGCUGGAGUAUAGGAGAGGUAAGCGGAAUUCCUGGUGUAGAGGUGAAAUUCGUAGAUAUCAGGAGGAACAACGGUGGCGAAAGCGGCUUACUGGACUAUUACUGACACUGAGGCGCGAAAGCGUGGGGAGCAAACAGG